Molecule: ribosomal RNA, 216 nt
Filed under: Glomeromycotina sp.
Lineage: Eukaryota; Fungi; Glomeromycota
Description: partial small subunit ribosomal RNA
Rfam family: Eukaryotic small subunit ribosomal RNA (bases 40-216)
Source: RNAcentral
GGGUCAGUAGGUUGGUCGUGCCACCGGUACGUACUGGUCUCACUGAUUCCUCCUUCCUGAAGAACCGUAAUGCCAUUAAUUUGUUGUUGCGGGGGAACAGGACUGUUACUUUGAAAAAAUUAGAGUGUUUAAAGCAAGCUAACGCUUGAAUACAUUAGCAUGGAAUAAUGAAAUAGGACGAUCGAUCCUAUUUUGUUGGUUUCUAGGAUUGACGUA